GAUGAACGCUGGCGGCGUGCCUAAUACAUGCAAGUCGAGCGAACGGACGAGAAGCUUGCUUCUCUGAUGUUAGCGGCGGACGGGUGAGUAACACGUGGAUAACCUACCUAUAAGACUGGGAUAACUUCGGGAAACCGGAGCUAAUACCGGAUAAUAUUUUGAACCGCAUGGUUCAAAAGUGAAAGACGGUCUUGCUGUCACUUAUAGAUGGAUCCGCGCUGCAUUAGCUAGUUGGUAAGGUAACGGCUUACCAAGGCAACGAUGCAUAGCCGACCUGAGAGGGUGAUCGGCCACACUGGAACUGAGACACGGUCCAGACUCCUACGGGAGGCAGCAGCAGGGAAUCUUCCGCAAUGGGCGAAAGCCUGACGGAGCAACGCCGCGUGAGUGAUGAAGGUCUUCGGAUCGUAAAACUCUGUUAUUAGGGAAGAACAUAUGUGUGAGUAACUGUGCACAUCUUGACGGUACCUAAUCAGAAAGCCACGGCUAACUACGUG
This 497-nucleotide ribosomal RNA is filed under the name uncultured bacterium. Its description in RNAcentral is "partial 16S ribosomal RNA". It matches the Rfam family "Bacterial small subunit ribosomal RNA", at positions 28 to 507 of the family's 1533-position model. The record is from RNAcentral.